Molecule: ribosomal RNA, 424 nt
Filed under: uncultured prokaryote
Description: bacterial SSU rRNA
Rfam family: Bacterial small subunit ribosomal RNA
Source: RNAcentral
UCGGGAAUUUUGGGCAAUGGGCGAAAGCCUGACCCAGCAACGCCGCGUGAAGGAUGAAGUCUUUCGGGAUGUAAACUUCGGAAAUAUAGGAAGAAUAAAUGACGGUACUAUAUUUAAGGUCCGGCUAACUACGUGCCAGCAGCCGCGGUAAUACGUAGGGACCAAGCGUUGUUCGGAUUUACUGGGCGUAAAGGGUGCGUAGGCGGCGCCGCAAGUCAAUUGUGAAAUCUCCGGGCUUAACUCGGAACGGCCAAUUGAUACUGCAGUGCUAGAGUGCAGAAAGGGCAACUGGAAUUCUUGGUGUAGCGGUGAAAUGCGUAGAUAUCAAGAGGAACACCUGAGGCGAAGGCGAGUUGCUAGGCUGACACUGACGCUGAGGCACGAAAGCCAGGGGAGCGAACGGGAUUAGAUACCCCCGUAGUCC